GAUGAAGAACGCAGCGAAAUGCGAUAAGUAAUGUGAAUUGCAGAAUUCAGUGAAUCAUCGAAUCUUUGAACGCACCUUGCGCUCCUUGGUAUUCCGAGGAGCAUGCCUGUUUGAGUGUCAUUAAAUUCUCAACCUCACCAGUUUUGUAACGAGACAGGUGAAGGCUUGGAUGUGGGGGUUUUGCAGGCUGCCUCAGUGCUGGUCUGCUCUCCCGAAAUGCAUUAGCGAGCUCAUAUUGAGCUUCCGUCUAUUGGUGUGAUAAUUAUCUACGCCGUGGAUUGGACUCAUGCUUGCUUCUAACCGUCCGCAAGGACAAUUUACUUGACCAAUUUGACCUCAAAUCAGGUAGGACUACCCGCUGAACUUAAGCAUAUCAAUAAGCGGAGGA
RNAcentral lists this unclassified non-coding RNA (388 nucleotides) under soil metagenome. Its description in RNAcentral is "partial contains 5.8S ribosomal RNA, internal transcribed spacer 2, and large subunit ribosomal RNA". The stretch from base 1 to 120 matches the Rfam family "5.8S ribosomal RNA", at positions 35 to 154 of the family's 154-position model. The record is from RNAcentral.